This 466-nucleotide ribosomal RNA is filed under the name uncultured bacterium. Its description in RNAcentral is "bacterial SSU rRNA". It matches the Rfam family "Bacterial small subunit ribosomal RNA", at positions 355 to 825 of the family's 1533-position model. The record is from RNAcentral.
UAGGGAAUAUUGGGCAAUGGAGGGAACUCUGACCCAGCCAUGCCGCGUGCAGGAUGAAGGCGUUAUGCGUUGUAAACUGCUUUUAUAUAGGAAGAAAUAGUCCUUGCGAGGAAAGUUGACGGUACUAUAUGAAUAAGCACCGGCUAACUCCGUGCCAGCAGCCGCGGUAAUACGGAGGGUGCAAGCGUUGUCCGGAUUUAUUGGGUUUAAAGGGUGCGUAGGCGGUUUAUUAAGUCAGUGGUGAAAGACGGUCGCUCAACGAUUGCAGUGCCAUUGAUACUGGUAGACUUGAGUAUGAUUGAGGUAGCUGGAAUGGAUAGUGUAGCGGUGAAAUGCAUAGAUAUUAUCCAGAACACCAAUUGCGUAGGCAAGUUACUAAGUCAUAACUGACGCUGAGGCACGAAAGUGUGGGUAUCAAACAGGAUUAGAUACCCAAGUAGUCCCUGAGCGGGCUGGCAAGGCGCAU